RNAcentral lists this ribosomal RNA (400 nucleotides) under uncultured bacterium. RNAcentral's name for it is "bacterial SSU rRNA". It matches the Rfam family "Bacterial small subunit ribosomal RNA", at positions 356 to 773 of the family's 1533-position model. The record is from RNAcentral.
GGGGAAUUUUGCGCAAUGGGGGAAACCCUGACGCAGCAACGCCGCGUGCGGGACGACGGCCUUCGGGUUGUAAACCGCUUUCAGCAGGGAAGAAAUUCGACGGUACCUGCAGAAGAAGCUCCGGCUAACUACGUGCCAGCAGCCGCGGUAAUACGUAGGGAGCGAGCGUUAUCCGGAUUCAUUGGGCGUAAAGAGCGCGUAGGCGGCCUCUCAAGCGGGAUCUCUAAUCCGAGGGCUCAACCCCCGGCCGGAUCCCGAACUGGGAGGCUCGAGUUCGGUAGAGGCAGGCGGAAUUCCCGGUGUAGCGGUGGAAUGCGCAGAUAUCGGGAAGAACACCGAUGGCGAAGGCAGCCUGCUGGGCCGCAACUGACGCUGAGGCGCGAAAGCUAGGGGAGCGAAC